GAUGAAGAACGCAGCGAAAUGCGAUAAGUAAUGUGAAUUGCAGAAUUCAGUGAAUCAUCGAAUCUUUGAACGCACAUUGCGCCCGCUGGUAUUCCGGCGGGCAUGCCUGUUCGAGCGUCAUUUCAACCCUCAAACCCCCGGGUUUGGUGUUGGGGAUCGGCUCUGCCUCACGGCGGUGCCGCCCCCGAAAUACAUUGGCGGUCUCGCUGCAGCCUCCAUUGCGUAGUAGCUAACACCUCGCAACUGGAACGCGGCGCGGCCAUGCCGUAAAACCCCAACUUCUGAAUGUUGACCUCGGAUCAGGUAGGAAUACCCGCUGAACUUAAGCAUAUCAAUAAGCGGAGGA
Molecule: unclassified non-coding RNA, 346 nt
Filed under: soil metagenome
Description: partial contains 5.8S ribosomal RNA, internal transcribed spacer 2, and large subunit ribosomal RNA
Rfam family: 5.8S ribosomal RNA (bases 1-120)
Source: RNAcentral